AGUGAACGCUGGCGGUAGACCUAACACAUGCAAGUCGAACGGCAGCACAGUAAGAGCUUGCUCUUACGGGUGGCGAGUGGCGGACGGGUGAGGAGUACAUCGGAAUCUACUUUUUCGUGGGGGAUAACGUAGGGAAACUUACGCUAAUACCGCAUACGACCUACGGGUGAAAGCAGGGGAUCUUCGGACCUUGCGCGAUUGAAUGAGCCGAUGUCGGAUUAGCUAGUUGGCGGGGUAAAGGCCCACCAAGGCGACGAUCCGUAGCUGGUCUGAGAGGAUGAUCAGCCACACUGGAACUGAGACACGGUCCAGACUCCUACGGGAGGCAGCAGUGGGGAAUAUUGGACAAUGGGCGCAAGCCUGAUCCAGCCAUACCGCGUGGGUGAAGAAGGCCUUCGGGUUGUAAAGCCCUUUUGUUGGGAAAGAAAAGCAGCAGGUUAAUACCCCGCUGUUCUGACGGUACCCAAAGAAUAAGCACCGGCUAACUUCGUG
Molecule: ribosomal RNA, 492 nt
Filed under: uncultured bacterium
Lineage: Bacteria
Description: partial 16S ribosomal RNA
Rfam family: Bacterial small subunit ribosomal RNA
Source: RNAcentral